Molecule: ribosomal RNA, 753 nt
Filed under: uncultured Candidatus Poseidoniales archaeon
Lineage: Archaea; Methanobacteriati; Thermoplasmatota; Candidatus Poseidoniia; Candidatus Poseidoniales
Description: bacterial SSU rRNA
Rfam family: Archaeal small subunit ribosomal RNA
Source: RNAcentral
GGGUAACCUGCCCUAUGCUGGGGAAUAACCUCGGGAAACUGAGAAUAAUGCCCCAUAGCCCACUACGCCUGGAACGGUGAGUGGGUCAAAGCUUCGGCGGCAUAGGAUGGGCCUGCGCCGUAUCAGGUUGUAGGGGGUGUAAAGUACCCUCUAGCCAUCAACGCGUACGGGUGUUGGGAGACAUUGCCCGGAGAUGGAUUCUGAGACACGAAUCCAGACCCUACGGGGUGCAGCAGGCGCGAAAACUUGGCAAUGCGAGCAAUCGUGACCAGGGAACUCCAAGUGCUUAGGGUAAGACCUAAGCUUUUCUUGACUCUUCAAAGGUCUUGGAAUAAGGGGUGGGUAAGGACGGUGCCAGCCGCCGCGGUAAUACCGGCGCCUCAAGUGGUAGUCGCUUUUAUUGGGCCUAAAACGUCCGUAGCCGGUCUGGUGCAUUCGUGGGUAAAUCAACCCGCUCAACGGGUUGAAUUCUGCGAGCACGGCCAGACUUGGGACCGGGAGAGGUGUGGGGUACUCUCAGGGUAGGGGUAAAAUCCUGUCAUCCUAAGAGGACCACCUGUUGCGAAGGCGCCACACUAGAACGGAUCCGACGGUCAGGGACGAAACCUAGGGGCACGAACCGGAUUAGAUACCCGGGUAGUCCUAGGUGUAAACGCUGUGGACUUGAUGUUGGGGGCGCUCCGAGCGCUUUCAGUGUCGAAGCGAAGGUGAUAAGUCCACUGCCUGGGGAGUACGGUCGCAAGGCUGAAACUU